This 73-nucleotide transfer RNA is filed under the name Lingula anatina. RNAcentral's name for it is "tRNA-Val". It matches the Rfam family "tRNA". From Rfam's summary of the family: Transfer RNA (tRNA) molecules are approximately 80 nucleotides in length. Their secondary structure includes four short double-helical elements and three loops (D, anti-codon, and T loops). Lineage: Eukaryota; Metazoa; Brachiopoda; Lingulata; Lingulida; Lingulidae. The record is from Rfam by way of RNAcentral.
GGCUCCGUGGUGUAGCGGUUAUCACAUCUGCCUAACACGCCGAAGGUCCCCGGUUCGAUCCCGGGCGGAACCA